Non-coding RNA from Plectropomus leopardus (leopard coralgrouper), 1745 nucleotides. The record is from RefSeq and is a predicted model, not a curated record. NCBI's taxonomy places the organism in Eukaryota, Metazoa, Chordata, Actinopteri, Perciformes, Serranidae.
UAACCGUAAAUUUUGUAUGAAGUUAAAAUACAGUUUCUCGUUGUCAGCCACGGUCCAGCUCCGGCCCACGCUCGGACAGGACCACUCCCUCCGCCGCCAAACGAGAGGCCGCCUUCUCUGGGGAAGAACCAGUCGUCAGCACGCACAGGGCCUCUUCCUCCUCCUCCUCCUCCUUCAGGGCGCAGCAGUGUGAGGUCAUCGCCAGCUCCUUCUCCUAUUGGUCGGCCUGGCCCGGAGCCUCCUCGUGGGGGACCCGGCGGCAGACCUCCGCUCCCUCCAGACAGGCCGGGGACAGGAGGGGCCCCUCCUCCUCCACCGCCGCCCAUGGGUAACGGCUUCCAGAACUCCCACCACAACCAGAUACAAGAUGAGUGGGAGUGUCGCUUCACUUUCCAUCCAGUGUCAGAGCUUCCUCCACCUGAGCCCUACAUGCCCUUCCCCAAGACCUACCCCAGCAAGCUGGCCAAGACCGACGGCAGAGGUCCUGGUAAGAAGGAGAGAGGAGCUCCUCCUCUUCCUCCUAUACCCAGGUGAAGAAGAGGCUGCAGCAGCAUCGCCUGGAACUACUUUCUCUGUUUCCGCUCUCUCUCUCUCUCUCUCUCUGUGUCACGCUUUGCUUUUUCCUGCAGCGUGUGGUUUCAUCUGUGGACGGCGACGUGUGAAACGGACCCGAAUUCUGGUCACCAAGUAAAGGCUGCGACUCUCGGUGUGGAGUUUCGGCAGCAUCCAGAGACCAAAGCCUGUUUUUUAACUCCGACACAUUCGUGCUCACAUCAGAAGGCAGAAACUCGCACCUCUUUAGGCACAAAUGUGUUUUACAACCGAUGCUGCGGAUGGAAAAUAUUAUUUGGGCGGACUUUGUUGACCUGGUUGCUGUGAGACAGUAUUUUAAUGAAACUUGAUCCACUUUAUUCCAUUAACUAACCUUUUCAUCCUCUGCUUUCAGCGCUGACGCCUGCCAGAUAUGAUAUUUUACCAAACAGCGACUCUUUUAUAAAACAGCACAAAGUCUGAUGACUUUAAAUAAAAUAGCUCAUGGAGUCCCAGGGUCACAGCUCAGGCUUAUAUUUCUGCUCCGGCGUUUCCCUCGAGCCUUUUUCUAUUCAGAUUGCAUCUUCAGGCUGCUUAAAUAUUUAAGGAGAUUCACGUUUUGUGCCUUAAACAGCGUGUGUGUUCAGCUGGUUUGGAUCAACUCUGCAGGUGUUAAAACAGCAGCUCAGGUUGCAGCCAUAUGAGAUUUUUUACGGUACGAUAACCAGAAAAUAUCCCGGUUUCACGGUACGGCAGUAAACGGUGUUACUAGAUUAUUAUUGUCAGUUGCAAUGACCCUUAACCCUUUGAAAUCUGGAUUGACAUCAGUUUUUUGUGCUGCGUUCAGACAAGUGGUCUGAUUUCUUUUCUAAAAAUCCUUUUGAAAAAUCUCUUUUUUAAAAACUGAUUUUUGGGUAUUUUUCUAGUCGCAUUUUACUCAUUUCAUGGGACAUUUCUUGCAAAGUUGGUCAAGAAAGCCUUUUUCCCAUGUUUUCAAAAGAAAUCAAACCUUUUUUCUCAGCAUCCAAAGGUUUAAACAUUUGCAGAAUCUGAACAGAAAACUGACUUUUCUUGUGCUGUGUGAGGAGACUGGUUUGAUUUCUUUCUGAAAAAUGCGGGUUAAAGCCAAUGAGCAGCUCGACAAGAAAUGUCCCAAAAAUUACAAGAAAUAAAUAAAAGGUAACAAGAAAAAAUACCAUAAAAUUUGUUUUAAA